RNAcentral lists this ribosomal RNA (520 nucleotides) under uncultured Glomus. RNAcentral's name for it is "SSU rRNA". It matches the Rfam family "Eukaryotic small subunit ribosomal RNA", at positions 569 to 1090 of the family's 1831-position model. The record is from RNAcentral. Lineage: Eukaryota; Fungi; Glomeromycota; Glomeromycetes; Glomerales; Glomeraceae.
AGCAGCCGCGGUAAUUCCAGCUCCAAUAGCGUAUAUUAAAGUUGUUGCAGUUAAAAAGCUCGUAGUUGAAUUUCGAGAUCAGUACGCUGGUCGUGCCUUCGGUAUGUACUGGUGUCACUGGUUUCUCCCUUCUGAAGAACCGUUAUGUCAUUAAGUUGGUGUGGCGGGGAAUCAGGACUGUUACUUUGAAAAAAUUAGAGUGUUUAAAGCAGGCUCGCGCUUGAAUACAUUAGCAUGGAAUAAUGAAAUAGGACGUUUGACCCUAUUUUGUUGGUUUCUAGGAUCGACGUAAUGAUUAAUAGGGAUAGUUGGGGGCAUUAGUAUUCAAUUGUCAGAGGUGAAAUUCUUGGAUUUAUUGAAGACUAACUACUGCGAAAGCAUUUGCCAAGGAUGUUUUCAUUAAUCAAGAACGAAAGUUAGGGGAUCGAAGACGAUCAGAUACCGUCGUAGUCUUAACCAUAAACUAUAGCCGACUAGGGAUCGGAUGAUGUUAAUUUUUAAUGACUCAUUCGGCGCCUUA